GUGCUCACUUUGACAGCACAUAUACUAAAAUUGGCACAAUACAUAUAAGAUUAGCAUGGCCUCUGCGUGAGAAUAACAUGCAAAAAGUGCAUAAACAGCCAUUA
Molecule: small nuclear RNA, 104 nt
Organism: Ailuropoda melanoleuca (giant panda)
Lineage: Eukaryota; Metazoa; Chordata; Mammalia; Carnivora; Ursidae
Source: Ensembl